AUUGAACGCUGGCGGCAUGCUUUACACAUGCAAGUCGAACGGUAACAGGCCUUCGGGCGCUGACGAGUGGCGAACGGGUGAGUAACGCAUCGGAACGUGCCCAGUCGUGGGGGAUAACGCAGCGAAAGCUGUGCUAAUACCGCAUACGAUCUGCGGAUGAAAGCGGGGGACCUUAGGGCCUCGCGCGAUUGGAGCGGCCGAUGUCAGAUUAGGUAGUUGGUGGGGUAAAGGCCCACCAAGCCAACGAUCUGUAGCUGGUCUGAGAGGACGACCAGCCACACUGGGACUGAGACACGGCCCAGACUCCUACGGGAGGCAGCAGUGGGGAAUUUUGGACAAUGGGCGCAAGCCUGAUCCAGCAAUGCCGCGUGCAGGAAGAAGGCCUCGGUUGUAAGCUCUUUGUCAGGAAGAAACAGCAGCUCUAACACAGUCUGCGAAUGACGGUACCUGAAGAAUAAG
This 459-nucleotide ribosomal RNA is filed under the name uncultured bacterium. RNAcentral's name for it is "bacterial SSU rRNA". It matches the Rfam family "Bacterial small subunit ribosomal RNA", at positions 30 to 490 of the family's 1533-position model. The record is from RNAcentral.